UACAGAGGGGGCAAGCGUUAUUCGGAAUUAUUGGGCGUAAAGGGCGCGUAGGCGGCUUGGCAAGUGGAAGGUGAAAUCCCUCGGCUUAACCGAGGAACUGCCCUCCAAACUGCCUGGCUUGAGACCGGGAGAGGUGAGUGGAAUUCCCAGUGUAGCGGUGAAAUGCGUAGAUAUCGGGAGGAACACCUGAGGCGAAGGCGGGCUACUGGGCCGAUACUGACGCUGAUGCGCGAAAGCCAGGGGAGCGAACGGG
Molecule: ribosomal RNA, 253 nt
Filed under: uncultured bacterium
Lineage: Bacteria
Description: partial 16S ribosomal RNA
Rfam family: Bacterial small subunit ribosomal RNA
Source: RNAcentral